Molecule: unclassified non-coding RNA, 338 nt
Filed under: soil metagenome
Description: partial contains 5.8S ribosomal RNA, internal transcribed spacer 2, and large subunit ribosomal RNA
Rfam family: 5.8S ribosomal RNA (bases 1-120)
Source: RNAcentral
GAUGAAGAACGCAGCGAAAUGCGAUAAGUAGUGUGAAUUGCAGAAUUCAGUGAAUCAUCGAAUCUUUGAACGCACAUUGCGCCCCUUGGUAUUCCAUGGGGCAUGCCUGUUCGAGCGUCAUUUGUACCUUCAAGCUCUGCUUGGUGUUGGGUGUUUUGUCUCGCCUCUGCGUGUAGACUCGCCUUAAAACAAUUGGCAGCCGGCAUAUUGAUUUCGGAGCGCAGUACAUCUCGCGCUUUGCACUCAUAACGGCGACGUCCAAAAGUACAUUUUUACACUCUUGACCUCGGAUCAGGUAGGGAUACCCGCUGAACUUAAGCAUAUCAAUAAGCGGAGGA